This 2097-nucleotide long non-coding RNA is filed under the name Paramuricea clavata. Lineage: Eukaryota; Metazoa; Cnidaria; Anthozoa; Malacalcyonacea; Plexauridae. The record is from RNAcentral.
GGAUUGUUACGUCUAGCAAAUAUGGCAGCCAUUCUCGCACAACUUGAACUGAAAAUAUAUAAAUUUUGACGAGGAUUAUGCAAAUGUGCCGUAUAGAAAGUAAGGCAACUAAGAAGGUACCAUAGGUUUUUAAAUUUUGACAGGCGAAUGCUUUAGAAUUAUGUGAACAUUUUUUAUGCCAGAAAGAUGGAUUUGAGUAGCUGGAAAUAUAGAGGUCAAGGGAUGAAGCCCGAGAGAAGCCGUUUUUCAAGGUAGUCGAUUCCUUCUUGAACUGUAGCACUCUGGCAUUGUUGUCACAACCUAUAUGCUUGUACAGUCAGUUGGAGUCUGGAACUGUGGAACGUGUUAAAUAUCGAAUCAUUUUCUGGAAAAUUGAGGUCUAAAAAAUCUGAUAAAGUAUUUUUAACCCCCCAAUAUCUCAAACUAGUGUUUGGAAAAAAUGUUUGGGGCAUUUUGUUUUCGAAAAAAAAACCAUGUCGGUCGAACUCCCGCUUUGAUGGGCUUAACAGGGGUGUGCUUAUUCACAGGUGGGCCUAUUCACAGGUGGGCUUUGGUGUUAGUAAUAUUUAUUGCAAUUUACUGGAAACUACACCGUAAACAAAAGGAAAUAUGAUAAUAAAUAGAUAUAAACACAUAAUAAAAAGUUGGUUAACAUAAUGCACCUAUCAAUGUUAAGCCCCAGAGGGGGUGGGGGGUCCGGCAUAGGUGGGGCAUUUGAUUUUUUGAGCAAAUUUUCAAUCAAAUGCCCCACCGUCGGGCAAUAAAUAUUGGUCAAAUGCCCCACCAUUUUGCAAUAAAUUGCAAUAAAUACUAUAUUAAUAAAAGUCAUUCGGUUCAAAUUGCCCCAACUCGGGGCCAAAAUGCUAAUCAAACUCCCCAGGGUGGGGAUGCAAUUGAUGAUCAAAUACCCCACAUAUGCCCGACCUCCCCCCCCCCCUCUGGGGGUUAACAUUGAUAGGUGCAUAAUAAUACUGCAUAAACUGUAUGUACAAUUUAAUUAUUGCAAUUUGUCCGAGGUGUUUAAAUCCCAGUCGGUAUAAAAAUCAGCAUCAAUUUUGUUUCAAUCUUCGCCAUCCCUCAGCCAUCAGUAAUAAUUUCACCUUGGUCUCAAUCAUCGUCGUCUUGCUGUUUCAUAACCCUCUAAUAUUAAUACCUGUCCAAUAUAAGCCGAAUAGGCGUAACUUGUAUUCAUAAGUAAUUUGCAGUACAAUUUAUUGAAACAUUCAAUUUUGGCAAUUUCUUCCCUUUUUCAAAAGCUUUUUUUGCACUUUUGUUCCCAAGGCAAUUUGCACAGUGCACCAGGAAUUUAACCCAGUAACCAGAAUAGGUGGGGUUCCAUGAUCAUUUCGUGAUUCAAAACCCACUUACCCUGUCUUUAAAUAAGUCCUCAUUUAAGGGGGAGAUAUAUUAAACCCUCACACUAAGAUUUCUUAUUUGUUCGAAGAAAUCAAGUUAUUAAAGCCAUUAUUAUACUCUGUCAAACACUAGGCAAUUUUUUCAUUACUUGGGGGGAUAGGGCUCAAUAUGGGUUAAGUACUAGUUAAUUUAAAACAUGAGCAGCCAAUCUUUAUCUGAUAUACAAACUUGAGCCAAAGGCAAGAUCUUAAUACAAGCUCACUGGAUAAGUAUUUUUAAACAUUGUCUAAGCCAAGAAAAUCAAAGCUGAUUAGUUUAUGUAAAUCAGGACAAAUCUUAAUUCAAUUUACAAACAUUGAUUAAACAAAUUUCUUUUGAAUUUUCUUCAUGAAUUACUAAUGAGUAUUUUAAGCAAUAACAGCUAUAGUUUUCUUUUGAAAUAUUGCCUGAAAAGAGCAAUUUAUGUAUUUUCAGUAUAAAAUUUAAUAUACGAAAUGUAUUAAAAUAAUAGGGUACAUAAUAGUCUAUAGUCUCAUGCAGUGCCUCUGCUAGGCCGCAUUGUACAAGGUUAUGGGUAAAUGAAGCAUGGAAAACCCACCAUAUGCUGUUCCAAAAACAUGGACACUGUUUUUUUGCCUUUUUGUUUCGUUUUAGUUGAGAUGCCAAUUAUGAAAAAUAAUUUUGAGGGAAACCAGCAUUCCUGGAGAAAAACCCUCACCGCAAUGAACCACAAGAGACAAG